Molecule: long non-coding RNA, 562 nt
Organism: Oppia nitens
Lineage: Eukaryota; Metazoa; Arthropoda; Arachnida; Sarcoptiformes; Oppiidae
Exons: 3
Source: RefSeq, a predicted model, not a curated record
CUGUCCGGCAGCCGACUGUAGGCCGCUCUGAGGCCACACACACAACAGCUGGUUAGCCGUAUAGUAGACCCGGAAUCGUACGACCGAUACAACCAACUGUUGCUUAGGUCGGCAACAGUCGAUGCUAUCGAUGAUGUGCAUAACUGUCCCAACACUGAGUGCGGUUCAAUGGUAGUGACCGAAAUGGAUCUGGCCAUUGGUAACUGUACCCGAUGUGGACUGGCAUUUUGUACCAGUUGUUUGAAACCAUAUCAUAGUGGCUAUGACUGUCAACUGGAAACCGAGGAACGGGAGGAAAUGGUAUAGUUAGCUGAGGAAAUGUUACGCAGAGGAAGAGGCGCUCAGCAGAGCCAUAGCCGAAGCGGACAACAAUUGGUUAGACAUAUUGUGAGCCCGGAAUUGUACGACCGAUACGAUCUACUAUUGUUUAAGAUAGCUGUCGGUGCUAUGGAUGAUGUGCAUUACUGUCGAGUUGGUAUGCAAUGGUGCAAUGGUAGUGACCGAAAUCGGCUUAGCCAUCGGUUACUGUGCCCAAUGCGGAACGGGAGGACAACUAAUGGAU